GACGAACGCUGGCGGCGUGCUUAACACAUGCAAGUCGAACGUGAUUUUUGUGGAAAUUCUUUCGGGAAUGGAAAUGAAAUGAAAGUGGCGAACGGGUGAGUAACACGUGAGCAACCUACCUUACACAGGGGGAUAGCCGUUGGAAACGACGAUUAAUACCGCAUGAGACCACAGAAUCGCAUGAUAUAGGGGUCAAAGAUUUAUCGGUGUAAGAAGGGCUCGCGUCUGAUUAGCUAGUUGGAAGGGUAAAGGCCUACCAAGGCGACGAUCAGUAGCCGGUCUGAGAGGAUGAACGGCCACAUUGGAACUGAGAUACGGUCCAAACUCCUACGGGAGGCAGCAGUGGGGAAUAUUGCACAAUGGGGGGAACCCUGAUGCAGCGACGCCGCGUGAGCGAAGAAGGUUUUCGAAUCGUAAAGCUCUGUCCUAUGAGAAGAUAAUGACGGUAUCAUAGGAGGAAGCCCCGGCUAAAUACGUG
Molecule: ribosomal RNA, 478 nt
Filed under: uncultured bacterium
Lineage: Bacteria
Description: partial 16S ribosomal RNA
Rfam family: Bacterial small subunit ribosomal RNA
Source: RNAcentral